CUGACGCCCUGUAACUGACGGAAGAAGUGGAGCACCACGGGGGAGCAGGGCGUCUGGAUUUCUUGCCGGCCGUCUGGGCACACUUA
Molecule: regulatory RNA element, 86 nt
Organism: Firmicutes bacterium CAG:137
Lineage: Bacteria; Bacillati; Bacillota
Rfam family: ZMP/ZTP riboswitch aptamer (pfl RNA motif)
About the family: Previously known as pfl RNA. ZMP is also known as AICAR.
Source: Rfam